GCCUUUAGUAAAAAUUAAAGGUGAUACCUGCCCAGUGGAAGUUUAUAUAAAAUUAUGAUCUGAUUUAAAUACUUCUAAACGGAUGCGGUAACUCUGACUGUAAUAAAGUAGCAUAAUAAGUUGUCAUUUAAAUUUGGUGGAGAGAAUGAAUGGUUAAACGAACGUUUCAUUUGUCUUAGGGGAGAGUUUUUGAAAUUGGAAAAUCAGUGAAGAUCCUGAUUUUCACCGUUAGACGAAAAGACCCUAUAGAGCUUGACUAUACUCCAUAACUUAUCUUUUAUGGAUUGGUAGUUUAGUUGGGGCGACUAUCUUUUAUAAUAAACAAAGAUAAGCAUAAUAAUAAUUUUUCAUUUUACUGUUUAAUUAAUAAAUUUAACAGUUAUUAAAGUAGGCUAUAAUGACCCAUUAGGUAUAAAAAAUUGACUUAAUGAUUAAUAAAUAAAAGCUACCUUAGGGAUAACAGGAUAAUUUUGUUUUAGAGAUCAAAUCAAAUACAAAGUUUGUCACCUCUAUGUUGAAUUAAGAUAUCCGAGCAAUGCAGAAGUUGCUUAAGGUAGGUCUGUUCGACCUUUAAAAU
RNAcentral lists this ribosomal RNA (577 nucleotides) under Ectopleura crocea. RNAcentral describes it as "partial large subunit ribosomal RNA". It matches the Rfam family "Bacterial large subunit ribosomal RNA", at positions 1816 to 2594 of the family's 2925-position model. Lineage: Eukaryota; Metazoa; Cnidaria; Hydrozoa; Anthoathecata; Tubulariidae. The record is from RNAcentral.